GACGAACGCUGGCGGCGUGCUUAACACAUGCCAGUCGAACGGAAAGGCCCUGCUUUUGUGGGGUGCUCGAGUGGCGAACGGGUGAGUAACACGUGAGUAACCUGCCCUUGACUUUGGGAUAACUUCAGGAAACUGGGUCUAAUACCGGAUAGGAGCUCCUGCGGCAUGGUGGGGGUUGGAAAGUUUCGGCGGUUGGGGAUGGACUCGCGGCUUAUCAGCUUGUUGGUGGGGUAGUGGCUUACCAAGGCUUUGACGGGUAGCCGGCCUGAGAGGGUGACCGGCGACAUGGGGACUGAGAUACGGCGCAGACUCCUACGGGAGGCAGCAGUGGGGAAUAUUGCACAAUGGGCGGAAGCCUGAUGCAGCAACGCCGCGUGCGGGAUGACGGCCUGCGGGGUGUAAACCGCUUUCGCCUGUGACGAAGCGUGAGUGACGGUAAUGGGUAAAGAAGCACCGGCUAACUACGUG
Molecule: ribosomal RNA, 468 nt
Filed under: uncultured bacterium
Lineage: Bacteria
Description: partial 16S ribosomal RNA
Rfam family: Bacterial small subunit ribosomal RNA
Source: RNAcentral